This 903-nucleotide ribosomal RNA is filed under the name Salmonella enterica. RNAcentral describes it as "partial 23S ribosomal RNA". It matches the Rfam family "Bacterial large subunit ribosomal RNA", at positions 578 to 1483 of the family's 2925-position model. The record is from RNAcentral. Lineage: Bacteria; Pseudomonadati; Pseudomonadota; Gammaproteobacteria; Enterobacterales; Enterobacteriaceae.
AGCACAGGUUUACCUGUGUGACUGCGUACCUUUUGUAUAAUGGGUCAGCGACUUAUAUUCUGUAGCAAGGUUAACCGAAUAGGGGAGCCGGAGGGAAACCGAGUCUUAAUUGGGCGUUAAGUUGCAGGGUAUAGACCCGAAACCCGGUGAUCUAGCCAUGGGCAGGUUGAAGGUUGGGUAACACUAACUGGAGGACCGAACCGACUAAUGUUGAAAAAUUAGCGGAUGACCUGUGGCUGGGGGUGAAAGGCCAAUCAAACCGGGAGAUAGCUGGUUCUCCCCGAAAGCUAUUUAGGUAGCGCCUCGUGAAUUCAUCUCCGGGGGUAGAGCACUGUUUCGGCUAGGGGGCCAUCCCGGCUUACCAACCCGAUGCAAACUGCGAAUACCGGAGAAUGUUAUCACGGGAGACACACGGCGGGUGCUAACGUCCGUCGUGAAGAGGGAAACAACCCAGACCGCCAGCUAAGGUCCCAAAGUCAUGGUUAAGUGGGAAACGAUGUGGGAAGGCCCAGACAGCCAGGAUGUUGGCUUAGAAGCAGCCAUCAUUUAAAGAAAGCGUAAUAGCUCACUGGUCGAGUCGGCCUGCGCGGAAGAUGUAACGGGGCUAAACCAUGCACCGAAGCUGCGGCAGCGACGCUUAUGCGUUGUUGGGUAGGGGAGCGUUCUGUAAGCCUGUGAAGGUGGCCUGUGAGGGUUGCUGGAGGUAUCAGAAGUGCGAAUGCUGACAUAAGUAACGAUAAAGCGGGUGAAAAGCCCGCUCGCCGGAAGACCAAGGGUUCCUGUCCAACGUUAAUCGGGGCAGGGUGAGUCGACCCCUAAGGCGAGGCCGAAAGGCGUAGUCGAUGGGAAACGGGUUAAUAUUCCCGUACUUGGUGUUACUGCGAAGGGGGGACGGAGAAGGCU